This is a long non-coding RNA of Hippocampus comes (tiger tail seahorse), 1776 nucleotides long. RefSeq lists it as uncharacterized. Lineage: Eukaryota; Metazoa; Chordata; Actinopteri; Syngnathiformes; Syngnathidae. The transcript has 2 exons. The record is from RefSeq and is a predicted model, not a curated record.
UCUAAGGCCGGUGACUUUGGGCGAAAUGUGCGGGUACACUGAGGACCAAUCACCCAUCACUUAUACAAACGUCUCCGGACAAAACGGGCAAUGAGCAUUCCCAAACAUGAAUGCUUUGGGAAUGUACGAGGCUACCAGAGCACUCGCGGAAAAAACACUUGAAUUUGCAAAUCCCUCACAAAAUCAGAACCCGGAAUAUUUCUAUCUGUGAUGCAGAAGUGCUAUGCACCAUGUGACGCCGCGCACUUGAGAACUGUUUUUUUUUUUUUCUUUCUUUUAACAGAACAAUUCUCAUCUGCGGCCAAGUGUCCUGGAAUGACACUCAUAAGUGUCUCGAUUCCCCGCCGAAAUGUUUUAUCGCCCUGUGGAAAUCAGUUGAAAGGAAAUCCAUCGUCGAGCCACAGGAUUGAUGUUUUGGCAGAGGAUCCCAGCCUUUUCCCUGACUAACCCGUCGUCAGCAUCCAAAAGGCCGGCUAUGUUUCUGCCCCGCGGGCGCUGACUUCUCCGCUUCCUCAGCAGAAAAAAAAAAAAAGGUGACGAGAGGAAUGGAGGAAUGUGUCUUUUCAUCAACACCGCGGCAACGUGAUUCCCUGAACGCGAAGCGGCGAGGCCAACGUGGCUUCCGGGCUUCACCUGCUUUGCCGAAAAAAAGAAGAUCCCGGGAGGUGACAGAUGUUGACUCAAUGCUAUCUGGCCAUGUCUGCGAGAUCUCACUUUUCGGGAGGAAAACCAUCGGUGCGAGCCCGGGCAUGCCUUUGUAUGGCGGACGGAGAGAAUAGGUGCGGUUGUGGACAUACCAGACAUACCAAACCAGGCAAUAAAGCCCAACGUAAAGCGGUGGCGAUUUGGGUGAAAGACGGCAUGCGUUGACCCCUGCGGCUGAGUAGGCAAGAAAAAUGGGACAGCAAAAGGUUUUCACCCCGGUUAGAGAGGUGCUGAGGGCCAAAAAGUUUGAAAAAGAUUAAGCGGACUUUGCCCCAUUUUGCAGUCAAGCCAACACAAAGUAGGUUAAGCUCCAAUUUCGACUCAAAAAUAGACAACUUUGCCUCUUAAAGUGGACGGUAUUACUCUUGCGGGGUGCACAACUGAUCCAAUAAGAGGAAAGUUACCAUGUGUAUAGAAUAUUUCGGGUCAAAUGGUCCCGAUUUUCACGCCGGCGCACAGCCGCGGGUAUGAUAUCUCCGCGUUUGUUUGGGUUUUGGAAAGCUUUCCAACGGGGCGCGCUCAGCCGCUGGCCAAACGAGGGCACGAUGGAUCCGACGCGGAUAGCGCAAACGCACGCUUCACGGAAUUGUAACAAAAUGCGCCUUUCAAACAUUCCCAACUCAGUGCUGACUCGCCUGUUAGAUGUGGACACAGUGAGCCACUUCUUCACGCGGUAUCACGAUGAAGCCAAAAAUAUGCCAGCUGUGCAGUACCGUCUUCACCAGGUGUUAGGCGUGAGUCCGUAGCGACUGCUUUAGCACAUUAUGCUUUCAACCACACAUUCAAUUAAAGACAUGACUCACUGCUGACUUUGCUGCAGUUUAAGACGCUAAUAUGUUCAUACUGGUCAUUGCUUGUUGAGACCUUCUUUAUCUGUGAGCCGAGUCAUCUGCGCCACAAUAUUAUUUUGUAAAAUUGUGGACGCCUCACCUUCGUUAGCAUUUUGAGCUAACAUCAGUAUAACAUUAGCACAUGCUUUAUGGAGAGUGGAAGUACUUUACUUGCCUUGAGGUAGUCAACUGACGAUGUCUACUCAACGUGCAGAAGUAAAAAAAAAAAAAGUAGAAACAA